ACCACAGUUAUUCUCCUAAAAUGCACAGCUGAGGGAAAGAACAGUGUCAGAUGCCCCGCGAACGUGCGGAAGCUCCCAGUUGCAUCACCCCGGCGUGCCAGGUAUUGCAGCAAAUAGGAAAGGAACUUGACAUCAUCAGACAGUAAAUCAAGAGGUACUGACAACUGAGACUGAGUGAUGGUCCCUGCCUAGGAUUUGGAAUCUUUGCAUGAAAUAGGGACUCUAGCCACCAGCGACAAAGAAGUCAGGGAGACUGU
RNAcentral lists this non-coding RNA (257 nucleotides) under Pongo abelii (Sumatran orangutan). The record is from RNAcentral. Lineage: Eukaryota; Metazoa; Chordata; Mammalia; Primates; Hominidae.